RNAcentral lists this ribosomal RNA (300 nucleotides) under Triticum aestivum (bread wheat). RNAcentral's name for it is "partial small subunit ribosomal RNA". The record is from RNAcentral. Lineage: Eukaryota; Viridiplantae; Streptophyta; Magnoliopsida; Poales; Poaceae.
GGGCUUGCUGGGGCCACUCACCAGCUUUCAAAGGAUGUGCGGAUACUUACGGAGAAGAACAACAUGCUAUCUCGGGAGCUGGAGCAGUGUCCGACCCAGCUGACUUCUGUUAAUGCCGAACUGGAAAAGUCCAAGGAAGCACCGACUGGAUCAGUGGCGCAACUAGAAGAGAAACUGAAAGCCACGCAGGCGGACAAAGAACAUGCCGAAAGGCAAGAGGCCACUGGUCAUCAUGUACUAACACGGACCAGGGACGAGAAGAACAAGAUGCAGGACGCCAACACUCUUUUCACUAAAUCU